AUCCAGCCGACGAAACUCAAAUAGGACGAAACGCGUGUCAAACUGGAU
This 48-nucleotide non-coding RNA is filed under the name Schistosoma margrebowiei. Lineage: Eukaryota; Metazoa; Platyhelminthes; Trematoda; Strigeidida; Schistosomatidae. The record is from RNAcentral.